Molecule: ribosomal RNA, 435 nt
Filed under: uncultured bacterium
Lineage: Bacteria
Description: partial 16S ribosomal RNA
Rfam family: Bacterial small subunit ribosomal RNA
Source: RNAcentral
AGCGGACGCUGGCGGCAGGCUUAACACAUGCAAGUCGAACGGGCAUAGCAAUAUGUCAGUGGCAGACGGGUGAGUAACGCGUGGGAACGUACCUUUUGGUUCGGAACAACACAGGGAAACUUGUGCUAAUACCGGAUAAGCCCUUACGGGGAAAGAUUUAUCGCCGAAAGAUCGGCCCGCGUCUGAUUAGCUAGUUGGUAGGGUAAUGGCCUACCAAGGCGACGAUCAGUAGCUGGUCUGAGAGGAUGAUCAGCCACAUUGGGACUGAGACACGGCCCAAACUCCUACGGGAGGCAGCAGUGGGGAAUAUUGGGCAAUGGGCGAAAGCCUGAUCCAGCCAUGCCGCGUGAGUGAUGAGGGCCCUAGGGUUGUAAAGCUCUUUUGUGCGGGAAGAUAAUGACGGUACCGCAAGAAUAAGCCCCGGCUAACUUCGUG